GAAGCGUAAAAAUCUAGCUAUAUCUAUACUUUGAAAGUGCUCUUGACGCAUUCGGCGUGCCAUAGCUGAAAGUGAAAGUAGGCCAAAGCCAAAAGUCACUAAUUCAGCACUAGUAUACUAACCAUCUGAAUGGACCUACAUCUCUGCUGUUUGUUGGAUUCUUGGGCAUUGUCAUUGGCUGGGAUUGUUGUCGUCGUUUUUCUUUUGUUAUGGCUGCGGCGUCGAGAAGCGGAGGAUUACCAGAGAAGGACGGGGAUACCUGCCCCGGAGGGAAUCCUUCCUCUGAUAGGUCAUCUUUACCAGGUCAUCAAAAUGG
Molecule: long non-coding RNA, 316 nt
Organism: Saccostrea cuccullata (small rock oyster)
Lineage: Eukaryota; Metazoa; Mollusca; Bivalvia; Ostreida; Ostreidae
Exons: 2
Source: RefSeq, a predicted model, not a curated record